UCCUCAACGAUGGAUAUCUAGGUUUCGAGAACGAUGAAGAACGCAGCGAAGUGCGAUAAGCAAUGCGAAUUGCAGAACCGUGAGUCAUCAGAUUUUUGAACGCAACUGGCACCUUAGUUCUGCUAAGGUAUGCUUGUAUCAGUGUGUCUUU
This 151-nucleotide ribosomal RNA is filed under the name uncultured Tintinnida. RNAcentral's name for it is "5.8S ribosomal RNA". It matches the Rfam family "5.8S ribosomal RNA". From Rfam's summary of the family: 5.8S ribosomal RNA (5.8S rRNA) is a component of the large subunit of the eukaryotic ribosome. It is transcribed by RNA polymerase I as part of the 45S precursor that also contains 18S and 28S rRNA. The record is from RNAcentral. Lineage: Eukaryota; Ciliophora; Spirotrichea; Tintinnida.